Molecule: ribosomal RNA, 492 nt
Filed under: uncultured bacterium
Lineage: Bacteria
Description: partial 16S ribosomal RNA
Rfam family: Bacterial small subunit ribosomal RNA
Source: RNAcentral
AGUGAACGCUGGCGGCAGGCUUAACACAUGCAAGUCGAACGGCAGCACAGUAAUAGCUUGCUCUUACGGGUGGCGAGUCGCGGACGGGUGACGAAUACAUCGGAACCUACUCUUUCGUGGGGGAUAACGAAGGGAAACUUACGCCAAUACCGCAUACGAUCUACCGGUGAAAGCAGUGGAGCGUCGGUCCUUGUGUGAUUGAACAAGCCGGUGUCGGAUUAGAUAGUUGUCGGGGUAAAGGCCCACCAAGGCGGCGAUCUGUAGCUGGUCUGAGAGAACGGUCGGCGACACUGGAAGAGGGACACGGUCCAGACUACUACGGGAGGACGCAGUGGGGAACGUUGGGCAGCAGGAGCAAGGAUGAUCCAGCCAUGGGGCGUAGGUGGAGGAAGCGUUGGGGUUGUGAAGCCGUUUUGUUGGGAGAGAAAAGCAGCAGGUUAAGACGAAGCUGUACUGACGGUACCCGGAGAAUAAGCACCGGCUAACUUCGUG